AACGGGCACUUCGGUGCUAGUGGCAGACGGGUGAGUAACACGUGGGAACGUACCUUUCGGUUCGGAAUAAUUCAGGGAAACUUGGACUAAUACCGGAUACGCCCUUCGGGGGAAAGAUUUAUCGCCGAUAGAUCGGCCCGCGUCUGAUUAGCUUGUUGGUGAGGUAAUGGCUCACCAAGGCGACGAUCAGUAGCUGGUCUGAGAGGAUGAUCAGCCACAUUGGGACUGAGCCAGGGCCCAAUCUUAUACGGGAGGCAGCAGUGGGGAAUAUUGGACAAUGGGCGCAAGCCUGAUCCAGCCAUGCCGCGUGAGUGAUGAAGGCCUUAGGGUUGUAAAGCUCUUUUGUCCGGGAAGAUAAUGACUGUACCGGAAGAAUAAGCCCCGGCUAACUUCGUGCCAGCAGCCGCGGUAAUACGAAGGGGGCUAGCGUUGCUCGGAAUCACUGGGCGUAAAGGGCGCGUAGGCGGACUCUUAAGUCGGGGGUGAAAGCCCAGGGCUCAACCCUGGAAUUGCCUUCGAUACUGAGAGUCUUGAGUUCGGAAGAGGUUGGUGGAACUGCGAGUGUAGAGGUGAAAUUCGUAGAUAUUCGCAAGAACACCAGUGGCGAAGGCGGCCAACUGGUCCGAUACUGACGCUGAGGCGCGAAAGCGUGGGGAGCAAACAGGAUUAGAUACCCUGGUAGUCCACGCCGUAACGAUGAAUGCCAGCCGUUGGGGUGCAUGCACCUCACUGGCGCAGCUAACGCUUUAAGCAUUCCGCCUGGGGAGUACGGUCGCAAG
RNAcentral lists this ribosomal RNA (779 nucleotides) under Allobosea sp. RNAcentral's name for it is "bacterial SSU rRNA". It matches the Rfam family "Bacterial small subunit ribosomal RNA", at positions 65 to 892 of the family's 1533-position model. Lineage: Bacteria; Pseudomonadati; Pseudomonadota; Alphaproteobacteria; Hyphomicrobiales; Alloboseaceae. The record is from RNAcentral.